CAGAAUGUUGGAUAAGCGAAUAUGUUGGAUAAUAAGGAGAGAUUAAGGAAAAGCCUAUUAAACAUUAAAUUAGUUUAUGAUUUUACAAAUUAAGCACCAAAACAUCAUGUUAUACAACAAAUUUGACAGAAAAAGUAGUUCAAUAUGCAGUAAUACUAUGUAGUAAUUACUGUAUUUACGAAUUUAGCACCAAAAUAUCACAAUGUAUUGAAAACAUUGACUACAAAAAUGUGUUGGAUAAUCCAGAACAUCUGAUAAGUGAGUGUUGGAUAAGUGAGACUCUACUGUACUUAUUUUGCUAUACAAGUACUAGCUGGUGAUAUGUUCUACAAUACAUAAACACACACACAUGGAUGUCUGUACAUGUAAAAGAUGAGGAUAACUGAAGUCCUACAAUAUCUGGACGGUGAUAUGUUGCCCACCCCCGUUUAAACCAUCAAUAAAAAUUAAGUUGCAAUCUGAAGGCUGCAGAUGUUGGCCUUGUGAAUUGAAUUGAACUGACCAGAACAGAGAGCCCAUUUCUACAUCAGUUUAAUUGAGGCAGCACUAGAAUUGUCUGUCAAUAGAGGGGGAAACAACCUGUUCUUGGACACCAUUUACUACAGCUAUUCUGUUCAGGGAAGUAGGUGGCAGCUUCCAACUUUAUUAGUCUGGCAUGAAAUUAACAUCCACUUGAAACAAAAUGGGAAACAAAUGGUAGCAAAACACGCCAAAGAAAGCAAAAGCACUUGGAUUUUGGGAAGCGUAGACUCAGGCCCCUUCCACACAGCUAAAUAAAAUCCCCCAUUUUAUGCUUUGAACUGGGAUAUAUGGCAGUGUGGACUCAGAUAACCCAGCUCAAAGCAGAUAUUGUGGGAUUUUCUGCCUUGAUAUUCUGGGUUAUAUGGCUGUGUGGAAGGGCCCUCAGCCAUGUAGCAUCGGAUCAACAUAUUCCUCUUCGGUUUAUCUUGCACCUUCUCAAUUAAAUAUGUGGUCUCUUGGACUGGAAUAAGUACUUUUGAACAAAUUUCCUGAUUGCAACAUAGCCUAUCAGUAGAGUAGACAAUAGAAAACAGAUUUAGCUUCAGGGGAUUGGCAGCUUUUACAGGUGAGGGGGGAAAUCUUGCCUGCUUGCAGAAAUGCCAACAUGGAAAAUCACAGCAUUUGCCUGGGAUGUCAAGGGGGGCAGAGGGAAGAGAGAUUGUGAGAGGCAGGAUUUUUAACCUUGUCAAAUUCUAGGUAGUGAUUUUGUCAUAAUUUCUUUCCAGAGCUUUACAUUUUUACCCUUUCUGGACUAAAAUAUCUACCUCCCUGUCAGCAUGGCCAAUAGUUAGGGGAUUCCAGGAAUCAUAUUCCAAGGAAGUAACUUUGCCAAGCUUUGCAUCUGCCUCAUUUAUAAAGCAGAAAAACAGCCAAGACAGGGUGCAGUGCACUGUCAACCUUGUUCUGUUCCUGUCAGUGAUGUCCACAAAGUCUUUGGGCAGAAGAAUGGUGGCAUUACAAUCACAAAAUCGUAGAAUUACAAAACUGGGAAGGAUUGCAAAAGCCAUCUAGUCCAGCUUAUUGCCAUGUGGGAACAAGUGGCAAGUUUAUUCUUUAAAUGUUUUUAUUGUGAGUGUUUAAAGCAAAACCUAUAAAAUUAUAUAAAGCCAAUAUAAAAAUGUGCACGUCAGGCGCAGAACACAAAUACCAGAUCAACCAUUAACCUACCUUUCAGUGUUUGAGAUUCACUUAGUUUGCAUACAAGCCUAUCCAUGGGUUCAUUUUCACUGUAAAAUUAAUGUAGUUUGGAACAAACUUCACUGCCAUGGCUCAAUGCUACGGAAUCAUGGGAGCUGUAGUUUUACAAGUUCUAUAGCCUUCUCUGCCAGUAGCAUUGAGCCAUGUCAGUGAAAAUGGUGUCAAAUUGCAUUAAUUCUACAGUAUAGCUGGACCCCAUGAAAUUUUUGGGCAUAACUGAUGCAUUAAAAAUCACUGUGCACUGUGUCUGGAUAGCUGCCCCCCCCCCCCAGUCCCCCAGCAUCUCAAUCCCCCCUCCUUCAGAAAAGACAGGAAAUCAGCACUUACCUUGAUCUGGGGGCAGAUUAAGUUACGUGUUCUUUUCUCUGGGUGGGAGGGGGGAAUUGAGGUUCUGGAGGGGGGUUGGAAUCCUGCUCUAUUGCCAGCCAUGCAGAAUAUAACUUCAGCACAGCUGGGCUCUGGGGUCAAUGUCCCGUGUCCGAGAUAUUUGACAGCACCCCUGUGUAGCCAUAAUGCAGCUCCAAAUCUGUAUUUUUUCAUACUGGUUGGAGCUAAAAUAAGUGCCCUUGUAGAACCCCCCUUAAUAUACUUCUCUGUCUUGGAUUUGGUCUGAGCAGUGAAAGAAAUUUCUAUUGCUAUAUUGAGGCUAGCAAUUAAAACUUGUCUAGAAUUGAAUUUUGAGCUGUACUUUAAUGAUUUCCAUAGAAAUUACUUCCAAUUCCAUGUGAAUGAUUUAGAUACACCUUGCAUCAAAUAAAUAAAUUGAAUAUUAAGCACUAUAAACAUUACAGAUCUUAUAAAUGUCUCUGGAUCAGAAUAAUUCAAUUAAUAUGUGCUUGUCUUCCUUUGCUUCACCAACAUUUUUCUAUUGUUUACCAAAGUUACGAGUCCUCUCAGUUCAUCAAUUGUUCAUCGUUAAUUUGCUACCAUGAUCUAGUCCAGUGGUUCUCAACCUGUAGGUCUCCAGGUGUUUUGGCCUAAAAUUCCCAGAAAUCCCAUCUACAUAGUUUACCAGUUAUUAGUAUUUCUGGUAGUUGAAGGCCAAAACAUCUGGGGAUCCACAGGUUGGGAACCACUGAUCUAGUCUAUGAAACUGCAUUGGUCAAUUAAACUAUUAAUAGUCAUAGAAUGAUAUCUUGCAGGAAAAGACAUAAUUUAUUUUAGCAUACCACUGAUAUGUCAUGUUGUAAUUGUGGCAGCCAUGAGUUUUUAAAGUAAUAAAUCAAAGUGAUAUUCUUUAGUCUCCAUUAGAGCCUGAAAAAAAAAAACUUCGGAAGAUUACAACUUCCAGAGUCACUCAGCCAAUAUAGCCAUGGACUUCCUUACCCCCACCCCUCAGCAUGAGGGAGGGAAAGCACUUUGCUCCCUUACAGUGAAGAGAGUAAAAUAGUCCCAGCUAGGACUUGUUGUGGCUGGGACCAGCAUGCUUCGCUCCCUGCCAUGCUCUCCAUUCUGACUUCGCAGCUGACCCACCCUCCCACCCUCUAACAGUGUACUUCAACGGUCGCAAUUUGGGGCCAGGUAGGAAUUUUUCCCCCUCUAUGUUCUGGGAGGGGUUCACCUACCGUAUACUGUUUAAUCCAAGACAAAUUGAGAGUGGGCUUUAAAUAGGCUAUCAUGUGGGACAAAACAGGGGUACGUUACAUCUUGAGGUGUACCUAAGGCACCCCUUUGUGAUGUAGGCUGUGGGUGGGAACCCUUAUCUGCAGUUAAAAGAACCAAAGUGAGGGUGAACAAUAGUGACCUUGAGUGGGGAGAUUUCUGUUCUCAAUAUACUCUGGAAUUGGGAUGGAAUUUUCCAUCUGUUUCCCUGAAUUGUCAUCAUGGAGGCAACAGUUGGUUGUAGCCGGGGACCAUGGAUUCUCGCCCUUAAUUUAUGAGGAGGAGGUCUUGGAUGGCCACUGCCUUGGUUUCAUGACACACCAAGUUCAUGCCCAUAAAUUGGUUGGCAGUUCACACAGAGAUUGAUUAGUAACAUUUCAUAAAAGUUGUCCAUAGUUUAACCCACAUUGUUGUGUUGAAAUGUUAUUUUGCUGGGGAGCAAAUGGUGGUUCUAGGUACUAGGGUCUAAACAGGUACAUUUUUCAGGUUUGUUCUGCAUAUGUUCUAAUAAUUGCACAAUUUUUCUACUGUGUAGGUAGAGACAAGUAGAAAUUAAACAAAAGUCAAGAACCACCUAAAAUGGUACAUGUCACUUCCUACAUUCAGAAGUCAAACUCUUUCACAUGGAAACCUGGGCUUUUCUCCACUGGUUAAUGUGUUAAAGGCUUUACAAAACAUCUCCCUUCAUUGUUUUUGCUGCA
Anolis carolinensis (green anole) is the source of this 4022-nucleotide long non-coding RNA. RefSeq lists it as uncharacterized. Lineage: Eukaryota; Metazoa; Chordata; Lepidosauria; Squamata; Anolidae. The record is from RefSeq and is a predicted model, not a curated record. The transcript is spliced from 2 exons.